Molecule: ribosomal RNA, 158 nt
Filed under: Diploastrea heliopora
Lineage: Eukaryota; Metazoa; Cnidaria; Anthozoa; Scleractinia; Diploastraeidae
Description: 5.8S ribosomal RNA
Rfam family: 5.8S ribosomal RNA
About the family: 5.8S ribosomal RNA (5.8S rRNA) is a component of the large subunit of the eukaryotic ribosome. It is transcribed by RNA polymerase I as part of the 45S precursor that also contains 18S and 28S rRNA.
Source: RNAcentral
CAACUUUUGACGGKGGAUCUCUUGGCUCACGCAUCGAUGAARAACGCAGCCAGCUGCGAUAAGUAGUGUGAAUUGCAGAAUUCAGUGAAUCAUCGAAUCUUUGAACGCAAAUGGCGCUCUUGGGUUCUCCCAGGAGCAUGUCUGUYUGAGUGUCGGAU